RNAcentral lists this ribosomal RNA (253 nucleotides) under uncultured bacterium. RNAcentral's name for it is "partial 16S ribosomal RNA". It matches the Rfam family "Bacterial small subunit ribosomal RNA", at positions 524 to 776 of the family's 1533-position model. The record is from RNAcentral.
UACGGAGGGGGUUAGCGUUGUUCGGAAUUACUGGGCGUAAAGCGCGCGUAGGCGGAUUAGAAAGUUGGGGGUGAAAUCCCGGGGCUCAACCUCGGAACUGCCUCCAAAACUGCUAGUCUAGAGUUCGAGAGAGGUGAGUGGAAUUCCGAGUGUAGAGGUGAAAUUCGUAGAUAUUCGGAGGAACACCAGUGGCGAAGGCGGCUCACUGGCUCGAUACUGGCGCUGAGGUGCGAAAGUGUGGGUAGCGAACAGG